This 1125-nucleotide long non-coding RNA is filed under the name Homo sapiens (human). RNAcentral describes it as "HSALNT0335870". The record is from RNAcentral. Lineage: Eukaryota; Metazoa; Chordata; Mammalia; Primates; Hominidae.
GUUGCAGUUACGGAAGCUGCCAUCACAGUUAGUGCAAAUCUGCAUUUAAAUCUCAACAACCCCAUCAGUUCUCUGUGAUUUAAGUCAUCUGCUCUUCUGGAUCUCAACUGCUUAUAAAAUUAAAGUUUUAUAUCUGUGUAUUAGGUAAUGGUUAAUUAAUUAUCUAAUUAUGCAUUUUUUGGACCAAGAUGUGGCCCUUUUCUUCAUGUGUAGCAUGAUACCAUAUUUCAGCAAUUCUGAGAUUACCAUAUUUUUCACAUUUAACAUCUUUGAAAUUAGAAUGUGGCAUAUAAUUGAUGGUAUGUCAUAGUUUAAUGUCAUAGUUCAGUUAUCAGGUUUUUAAAAACUUUUGUAGUGGUAUAUAAAAUAAUGAUGUGUCUUAUAAUUGAUAGUGUCUAAGAUUCAAUGAAGUACCAGGGAGUUGAUAAAUAGAAAACAGAAAACCAUAACCACCCAACUUCCCUAUCAAUCAAUCUUCUCUAUUUCAUAAAUGAUAGGAGAAAGCUUAUUGUUUAAUUGAUUGUUGGCUUUUUAUGCUACCAAAGAGGAGUAAUUGCAACAAUACAAUGAUUCAUGGAUGGCAACCAAAAGAACUGUGAUCACCUAAGUGUAGCAAAAAGAAAAUAUUACUACCUGUUAAUUUACAUCCCAUGAAGUUAAGCACAUAUUUCAUCAUUUGAGUGAUGUCAUCCUCUCUAAAAUUUAUGCUGAAACUUAAUCCUCAAUGCAACAGUAUUAAGAGGUAUGACCUUUGAGAGGUUAUUAAGUCAUAAGGGCUCCACCCUCAUAAAUGGGAGUCACAUUCUUGUAAACAGGCUCAAGGUUGAAAGGAGAGUUCUCUGGCCCUUCAUUCCUUCCAUCAUAUGAGGACACUGGGUUAGUUCUCUCUGGAGGAUGCAGCAACAAGACUCCAUCUUGGAAGCAGACAGCAAUUUUCACCAAACAUGCAACAGGCCAGUGCCUUGAUCAUGGACUACCCAGCCUCCAGAACUAUCUCCAGUUGGUUGAAUGUGUGCAUGUAGAACCCACAGACACAGAGGAUGGGCUACAUUAUGUAGCGUCAGUGAUGGCUUCAUAGAAGAGUUGGCUUUGGUAUCAGGAUGAUGCUGGCCUCAUAAAAUGAGU